CUUCCGCAAAUCCAACCAAUCAGCGCGCGCCUUUAAUCCAGCUGACCAAUCAGAAUUAAACCGCACCACCAACCGUUCACUUUAGCCCCGCCCACCAUGUGACGCGACCUGGCGUGACGCAAGAGCCAUCAGCUGUUUUUGUUUGGCUCCUGUUGGGAUCAUUUCGGGUCUUCGGCAGUGUGAGACGGCUCCAGCGCAUCCGGGGGCUCCGGUGAAGGCGGGGCCGGGCGGAGGUCGCCGGAGUUCGGCAUGGAGAGCGGAGAUGGAGGCGGAGGAGCCCGCGGCCCGGCACUGCGCUGCGCCUCCUUUAACCAGGACUCCACAGAGCAUACUCUGCUCUGAUUGGUCAGACGUCCCAGUCUGUCGUGAUUGGUCUACCGCUGUCAGCGAGCAGUCGUUGAAGACCAGAGACGGGGCUUUUUGUUACAAACCUACGUAGGUUCGUACAGGAAGUAAAGUCUGGAAUCACUAACCACUCAUUUCAGCUGUUCAGAAUCGAUUCCUUCUUUUGGGAGUCGAUAACUCUGCUUGUCCUGAGCUACGUAUAUAAUACACUACAUGAAAGGUAAUAUUUGAAAAACUAUAAUAGGUGCACUUUAAGUCCGAUGGAAUUGCAGCACGUCGUGCUUCAAUAAAUGUUCAUUCAAAUCAGAAUGAAACAUACUGUACGGUUUAAUAAUGAAAGCGGAUCAACCUGUAUGUCUGAAAGGAUGCUUUCACAUAUUCAUGGUUGAGCUUUUUUAUGAAUAGAACCCUGGUGUGACUCGACUUCAGGAAAUGAAUAACAAAAACGGCCUGCGUUUUGGGUUGCAGCAUUUUUUUCCCUGUAAAUGUUAGUUGCUAAACUGAGCCAGUGGACAGAGCUGUAGCACUGCAGGAAUGCUCUGGAGUUUCGUUUAACUUUUUAAAAAUUUUUUUUUUACCAGAGGCAAAGAAAGGAAUUUGCGCCUGUUUUGGUGGCGCCCGUGUUCAGCGUUGAAUUUAUUUGUGAUGUCACACUCCACAGUUAAUGGC
Molecule: long non-coding RNA, 1014 nt
Organism: Ictalurus punctatus (channel catfish)
Lineage: Eukaryota; Metazoa; Chordata; Actinopteri; Siluriformes; Ictaluridae
Source: Ensembl